Molecule: non-coding RNA, 80 nt
Filed under: human gut metagenome
Description: Cyclic di-GMP-I riboswitch
Rfam family: c-di-GMP-I riboswitch aptamer
About the family: GEMM was predicted in a large-scale screen for bacterial structured RNA regulatory elements. Genes associated with GEMM are involved in a diverse array of functions, including chemotaxis regulation, signal transduction, secretion and chitin.
Source: RNAcentral
AAUAUAUGGGCAAACUUAUCGAAAGGUAAGGACGCAAAGCCAAGGGUCUAAAGCUAGUAUAGCAAUGACAGCCGGUUGCC